Molecule: long non-coding RNA, 1282 nt
Organism: Astatotilapia calliptera (eastern happy)
Lineage: Eukaryota; Metazoa; Chordata; Actinopteri; Cichliformes; Cichlidae
Source: Ensembl
UUAGUGUUAAUGAUAGCCAUACAUGUGUAUACUUUUGCUAGGAGUGUGUUGGAAAUUUGGUAAUUGAGUGUUGUGCAGUGAAUUGUGCCUACAGUUUUGCAAAGUGUGUGUUACAAAAUUGCAAACUGAGUGCAAAGCAGUUUUUGUGCUUUUAGUUUUGCAAACUCAGUGAGUGGUUUUGCUAUAAGUCUGAAUAGUUUUAGAGAUUGUGCUACAGGAAUCACAGUUAGGGUUUAAGCAUUCAGAAAAAACUGUAAUUCUGGUAAAUAAAAGUCAGAUCACAAACCUCAUGACCUAGAAACAGGCCUGGUGUUAAGUGUUGCAUUAAUAUAGAAAUGGCUGCAUGCAAAAGAGCGUUCACACCUUUUUUUUUUUUUAUUAAACACAACUGUGAAUCUGAGUGUUGGACUAAGUGUGAUGCUUCGUGCUGUGCAACAACCAUACAUCUGCUCCACCCAGAAACACUCCGGAGAGGCCUGUCAGGUUCGAUGAUUGUUACUCAGCCGCUGGCCUCCAAAACUUACGAAAGGGCUUCCCCUAAGCUCCAUCAAGCACUGUAGCCUGUUAUAACCGUGCUUUUUUUUUUUUUAAUGAGCAGGAGAGCACAACUUACUGCAAAUGGUUUGUUAUUUUUAGAUGUAGAUUAACUUAAAACCCGAGAAAUGUAAAGGAAGCAUCAGGUUUGUACAGAUUUAGUAAAUUGCUGCGAUGAUGACUUUAAAAUGAACUCUUAAUCUGUUGAUAGCCCUGAGUCAUCCACCUUGAACUCGUCUAACCUGUGUCACUGAAUCCUUGAUAGCGCUCACUAGUGUUUCUCUACCUCUUCUUUUUUUUCUUCACUUUCUGAUUCAGUGUGUGAAAGUGGAAGCAUUAGUUAGUUAAUGCUGCAUGUGUCCUACAUAACAGGGACGAUGCAGGAUGACAGAGAAUUGUGGUGAGAGUUGAAAUCUAAACGUGAAGGUUUAUGUGUAGGUCAGAGCCGAUCUGCGCCACAGCUGCUGCACAGUGUCAAUGUUUCACCCUACGCAGAAACGCUCUUGUUUUUGUUUUUUACUGGAACAAAGAAAAGAUAGAAGAGUGAAAAAAAGAACAAAUCCCCUCUUUGUUUUCUGGCAGUGGCCUGGUUCACAUGGCUCUUUGCUUUUUGCAGGUGCGCCUGCCAUUACACAUUUCAGUCCAGUAAUUGUAACUGUGCCAUUGUCUGUGCUCACUGUGGCACCCGUUUGUGACUCAUUGGCAAUCGGUGAAGCCUGUCUGGUACUAAAAAAGUGUGUGCAGUUUU